This 440-nucleotide ribosomal RNA is filed under the name uncultured bacterium. Its description in RNAcentral is "partial 16S ribosomal RNA". It matches the Rfam family "Bacterial small subunit ribosomal RNA", at positions 338 to 795 of the family's 1533-position model. The record is from RNAcentral.
CCUACGGGAGGCAGCAGUGGGGAAUAUUGCACAAUGGGGGAAACCCUGAUGCAGCGACGCCGCGUGAGUGAAGAAGUAAUUCGUUAUGUAAAGCCCUAUCAGCAGGGAAGCAAAUGACGGUACCUGAGUAAGAAGCCCCGGCUAACUACGUGCCAGCAGCCGCGGUAAUACGUAGGGGGCAAGCGUUAUCCGGAUUUACUGGGUGUAAAGGGAGCGUAGACGGCAGUGCAAGUCUGGAGUGAAAGGCGGGGGCUCAACCCCCGGACUGCUCUGGAAACUGUACGGCUGGAGUGCAGGAGAGGUAAGUGGAAUUCCUGGUGUAGCGGUGAAAUGCGUAGAUAUUAGGAGGAACACCAGUGGCGAAGGCGGCUUACUGGACUGUAACUGACGUUGAGGCUCGAAAGCGUGGGGAGCGAACAGGAUUAGAUACCCCUGUAGUC